Molecule: small nuclear RNA, 104 nt
Organism: Cricetulus griseus (Chinese hamster)
Lineage: Eukaryota; Metazoa; Chordata; Mammalia; Rodentia; Cricetidae
Source: Ensembl
GUGCUCGCUUUAGUAGCACAUUUACUAAAAUUGGAACCAUUCAGAGAUUAGCGUGGCCCGUUUGCAAGGAUAACAGGCAAAUUCAUGAAAUGUUCCACAUUAAA